This 491-nucleotide ribosomal RNA is filed under the name Comamonas sp. canine oral taxon 270. RNAcentral's name for it is "bacterial SSU rRNA". It matches the Rfam family "Bacterial small subunit ribosomal RNA", at positions 9 to 494 of the family's 1533-position model. Lineage: Bacteria; Pseudomonadati; Pseudomonadota; Betaproteobacteria; Burkholderiales; Comamonadaceae. The record is from RNAcentral.
GAGUUUGAUUAUGGCUCAGAUUGAACGCUGGCGGCAUGCCUUACACAUGCAAGUCGAACGGCAGCACGGACUUCGGUCUGGUGGCGAGUGGCGAACGGGUGAGUAAUACAUCGGAACGUGCCCAGUAGUGGGGGAUAACACAUCGAAAGAUGUGCUAAUACCGCAUGAGACCUGAGGGUGAAAGCGGGGGAUCUUCGGACCUCGCGCUAUUGGAGCGGCUGAUGGCAGAUUAGGUAGUUGGUGGGGUAAAGGCUUACCAAGCCUGCGAUCUGUAGCUGGUCUGAGAGGACGAUCAGCCACACUGGGACUGAGACACGGCCCAGACUCCUACGGGAGGCAGCAGUGGGGAAUUUUGGACAAUGGGCGCAAGCCUGAUCCAGCAAUGCCGCGUGCAGGACGAAGGCCUUCGGGUUGUAAACUGCUUUUGUACAGAGCGAAAAGCCUCUUUCUAAUACAAAGGGGGUCAUGACGGUACUUAAGAAUAAAGCCCC